This 274-nucleotide ribosomal RNA is filed under the name uncultured bacterium. RNAcentral describes it as "partial 16S ribosomal RNA". It matches the Rfam family "Bacterial small subunit ribosomal RNA", at positions 523 to 796 of the family's 1533-position model. The record is from RNAcentral.
AUACGGAGUGUGCGAGCGUUACUCGGAUUCACUGGGCAUAAAGCGCACGUAGGCGGGUUGCCAAGUCGGCCGUGAAAGCCCCCGGCUCAACCGGGGAAUUGCGACCGAAACUGGCAGCCUUGAGGACGAGAGGGGAGAGCGGAACUUCUGGUGGAGUGGUGAAAUGCGUAGAUAUCAGAAGGAACACCGGUGGUGAAAACGGCUCUCUGGCUCGUUUCUGACGCUGAGGUGCGAAAGCGUGGGGAGCGAACGGGAUUAGAAACCCCAGUAGUCC